CUGCGUCACACGUACGAGGGGAACAACAUCCCCGAGGCUUGUGUCACUCUGCGACUGUCUCGACUCGUGGAUCGGUCCGUUCAACGAGGUCGCCCACCCCCGUCCGGCUCGGCCUGGACCCGCUUCGGUGCUCGGCCGCUGGAAGAUGCCUCCCACCUGGUCGCAUCUCUUCGGUGCAGCGUUGGAUUCGAGGCUCUACUGACACGUGGUGGCAGCAGACACGUCGACGCAAGAAGGCCUGGACGAAGAGUACGUCGCCACCAGCACGGCCGAUUUCUCUGAUAACCUCGCGACCUUUCUGCGUGUAAGCUGAUUGUUUCCGCCUGGUUAUCGUCGGGCACAAGGCGACCAGAACAGGAACGGUGAUAAUAAAUGAUGUCGAAAGGAAGUUUAA
Pollicipes pollicipes is the source of this 394-nucleotide long non-coding RNA. RefSeq lists it as uncharacterized. The transcript has 2 exons. The record is from RefSeq and is a predicted model, not a curated record. NCBI's taxonomy places the organism in Eukaryota, Metazoa, Arthropoda, Thecostraca, Pollicipedomorpha, Pollicipedidae.